RNAcentral lists this ribosomal RNA (1333 nucleotides) under uncultured bacterium. RNAcentral describes it as "bacterial SSU rRNA". It matches the Rfam family "Bacterial small subunit ribosomal RNA", at positions 28 to 1382 of the family's 1533-position model. The record is from RNAcentral.
GACGAACGCUGGCGGCGCGCCUAACACAUGCAAGUCGAACGAGCGAGAGAGAGCUUGCUUUCUCGAGCGAGUGGCGAACGGGUGAGUAACGCGUGAGGAACCUGCCUCAAAGAGGGGGACAACAGUUGGAAACGACUGCUAAUACCGCAUAAGCCCACGGCUCGGCAUCGAGCAGAGGGAAAAGGAGCAAUCCGCUUUGAGAUGGCCUCGCGUCCGAUUAGCUAGUUGGUGAGGUAAUGGCCCACCAAGGCGACGAUCGGUAGCCGGACUGAGAGGUUGAACGGCCACAUUGGGACUGAGACACGGCCCGGACUCCUACGGGAGGCAGCAGUGGGGAAUAUUGCACAAUGGGGGAAACCCUGAUGCAGCGACGCCGCGUGGAGGAAGAAGGUCUUCGGAUUGUAAACUCCUGUUGUUGAGGAAGAUAAUGACGGUACUCAACAAGGAAGUGACGGCUAACUACGUGCCAGCAGCCGCGGUAAAACGUAGGUCACAAGCGUUGUCCGGAAUUACUGGGUGUAAAGGGAGCGCAGGCGGGAAGACAAGUUGGAAGUGAAAUCCAUGGGCUCAACCCAUGAACUGCUUUCAAAACUGUUUUUCUUGAGUAGUGCAGAGGUAGGCGGAAUUCCCGGUGUAGCGGUGGAAUGCGUAGAUAUCGGGAGGAACACCAGUGGCGAAGGCGGCCUACUGGGCACCAACUGACGCUGAGGCUCGAAAGUGUGGGUAGCAAACAGGAUUAGAUACCCUGGUAGUCCACACUGUAAACGAUGAUUACUAGGUGUUGGAGGAUUGACCCCUUCAGUGCCGCAGUUAACACAAUAAGUAAUCCACCUGGGGAGUACGACCGCAAGGUUGAAACUCAAAGGAAUUGACGGGGGCCCGCACAAGCAGUGGAGUAUGUGGUUUAAUUCGACGCAACGCGAAGAACCUUACCAAGUCUUGACAUCCCUUGACGAUGCUGGAAACAGUAUUUCUCUUCGGAGCAAGGAGACAGGUGGUGCAUGGUUGUCGUCAGCUCGUGUCGUGAGAUGUUGGGUUAAGUCCCGCAACGAGCGCAACCCUUAUGGUCAGUUACUACGCAAGAGGACUCUGGCCAGACUGCCGUUGACAAAACGGAGGAAGGUGGGGAUGACGUCAAAUCAUCAUGCCCUUUAUGACUUGGGCUACACACGUACUACAAUGGCGUUAAACAAAGAGAAGCAAGACCGCGAGGUGGAGCAAAACUCAGAAACAACGUCCCAGUUCGGACUGCAGGCUGCAACUCGCCUGCACGAAGUCGGAAUUGCUAGUAAUCGCAGAUCAGCAUGCUGCGGUGAAUACGUUCCCGGGCCUU